Long non-coding RNA from Daucus carota subsp. sativus, 515 nucleotides. RefSeq lists it as uncharacterized. Lineage: Eukaryota; Viridiplantae; Streptophyta; Magnoliopsida; Apiales; Apiaceae. The record is from RefSeq and is a predicted model, not a curated record. The transcript is spliced from 4 exons.
GUUUUCAUUACACAUCUACAUUCAGACAAAAUUAAAAAGUCGAACACUCCCCAUUUCUUCCCCGCUAUAUCGUUCUCGAGUAUAAACCCUAGAAAUAAAAUCAAUCAGUCUGUUUCUCCACUUUCUCUACAGGUGUUUAGUGCUUGCGAUUUGGAUAUCGGAGCUUCGAUUUUCAACUCUUGUUUGAGUUCGAGCGGAGAGUUUGGACUCACAGCUUUGUUUGCAGUUCGAUCUUGUAGUGUUGAAGGAAUGGAGAUGUGUUAUCUGACUUUAGUUCUGAUAAGCAAUUUUUCACUCCCAGUCUUCACUAAGUAUUAGUAUUGUGCUAGAACGACUGCCUUCAGCAAGAAAUUAUUGGUAUGCUUCCCCAGAAGCCGGUAAUGAAAGCUCUCUAGUCAAACCAGGACCGUGCUUGUAUCGAAUCAGGAGGGAACUACUGCAGAUAACCGCGCUUGUCACAUCCGAAUCAUUUAUGGAUUGCCACCUACUUUGAUUUGUAUUAACAAUUUGUACUU